This 387-nucleotide transfer-messenger RNA is filed under the name Burkholderiaceae bacterium. It matches the Rfam family "transfer-messenger RNA". Rfam says of the family: Bacterial tmRNA, also known as 10Sa RNA or SsrA, is named for its dual tRNA and mRNA-like properties. Lineage: Bacteria; Pseudomonadati; Pseudomonadota; Betaproteobacteria; Burkholderiales; Burkholderiaceae. RNAcentral also lists the same sequence under 1 other name. The record is from RNAcentral.
GGGGCUGUCCUGGUUUCGACGCGGGUUCGGAAUCGGUGCGGUGCAUGUCGAGCUUGAGUCACGCUCGUAAAUCUCGAUUCAACAAAGUAACUGCAAACGACGAACGUUUCGCACUCGCUGCUUAAUUGCUAGCGAGCCUUGCAACAGUUGGCCUAUGGGCUGGGCAAGGGGGCGCUGAAAAUUCAGAGCCUCCAGGCUGCAAGGGCAUUCACAUAGGCUGGUUGCGCCCCGGGUACCUUGGGCCGCAACGAGAUUCAAGGGUACUGGCAACCGGUGCAGCGUGCGCCUGCGCGAUACCGGCGGCGAGAAUCAAAACAGCGCGCUAAACAUGUAGAUCUGCUCGAAGAAGGCUUGCGGACGCGGGUUCAACUCCCGCCAGCUCCACCA